UGAUGUACAAGGCUGUAACGUAUAACAAACAAAUAUAAUAUAUCGCUAUAUUUGUUUCAAGUAGUUGGCUAUUCGCAGGUUUUCCCAACAACCCAGUUGUGCAUUUGUUUAGCUAGCUAGCGUAUGACGUCCACUCAUACCACGCUAAUGUUAAAAUGUCAGAGCUCCUUUCCUUCAGGCUCUUUAGUUAGAGUUAGCCAACAUGGCGACCAUGUAACGUUAACGCAAACGGACUAUGUGGAGUGCCAACAAAAUGAGGGUCCCCCGAUGCCAAAUGGGGCUCCGGCGAGCCUAUUUGGUUUGGCCAAUCCUGCUGCUACUCCUGGUUGGUGCGGCAUUGACAGCUCUGCUGCCCCCUGCUGAGGACCAAGGAGGUGUUGGUGGCCUAGGAGUGCUACGCGAGGCAACAUCACACAAAAAUAAUCCUAGGAAGGACAAACCUGGUGACAGCAUAGGGGAGGAGGAGCAGAGGUUCACCAUCAUCAUCCAAACUUACAACCGCACAGACAUUUUGCUCAAACUCCUAAACCAUUACCAGGCAGUGCCUCAUCUGCGGCAGAUUAUCAUAGUCUGGAACAACAUUGGGGAGCAGACACCUCUGAAGUUAUGGAACUCUUUGGGGCCUCAUCCGGUCCCUCUGGUCUUCAAGGAGCAGACUAUCAAUAACAUGCGCAACAGACUACAACCAUUCCCUGAGAUUAAUACUGAUGCGGUGCUGAUGCUGGAUGACGACACCCUGGUCAGUGUUCCUGACAUCAGUUUUGCUUUCUCUGUCUGGAAGCAAUUCCCAGACCAGAUUGUUGGGUUCGUCCCACGCAAACAUGUCUCAGCACCAGGAGGAGCGUACAGUUACGGCAGUUUUGAACUGCAGGACCCAGAAACAGCUGGAGGUGACAAGUACUCCAUGGUGUUAGUUGGUGCUGCCUUCUUCCACCGCCGGUACCUGCAGCUCUUCCAGGACCAACCUCAAGCAGUGCACGCGCUGGUGGAUGAAACGCAGAAUUGUGACGACAUUGCCAUGAACUUUGCUGUAGCGCUGUAUUUGAGGAAACACUCUAUAGGCAAGGUUAACAAACCCUCCGGGGUCUUUGUCAAACCUGUAGACCUCCGCAACCUGGAAAAGGAUGCCAGGAGCGGGUACCAGGGCAUGUGGCAUCGUCCUGAACACCUUCUUCAGAGAUCCUACUGUAUGAACAAGCUGACGCAGAUCUACGGCUUCAUGCCACUCUGCUUCUCCAACCUGAUGGUGUCCCAGUUUGGCUUCCCCAGCUACGCCAACCAUAAGAGUAGAGGCUGAGCUGCCACACAGCUGAUUGUUUUGGAUGGAAAGAAGACCGACUCAAGUAAGUCUGCACUAUCAUGGAUUUAGGACAAUCAGAAUUUUCUAAACAUGGCCCAGUCUGAGGCAUAAUCUAUAUUUGAUAAAGUAAUCUCUAUAUCGUUACCAAAGCUGCCUUUCUUUCAGUAUGAACAACCCUCUCAGUGGAUUGUGGUUGUUCUACAACCAGCAGGUGUAACCAUGAUUUACAGCUCUCUGAUGCUGUCCUGUAAACAUUUGUUUUUACUACAUUUAUUUAGUUUACGGAUUGUCACUUUUCUGGUGAGCUUGUAUGAAUUUGUAGGUACUGUUAUUAAGUAUGUACUGGUCAAAAGAGCGUCUGUACCAAAGGUGUGAAUUUAUGAAUAAAAUACAGGUAUUUUGUACAUUCUA
RNA transcript from Etheostoma spectabile (orangethroat darter), 1711 nucleotides. It is a transcript of the gene named exostosin-like glycosyltransferase 2, with no coding region annotated. The transcript is spliced from 6 exons. NCBI's taxonomy places the organism in Eukaryota, Metazoa, Chordata, Actinopteri, Perciformes, Percidae. The record is from RefSeq and is a predicted model, not a curated record.